CUGUGCGAGUAACUUCCCUUUUGAAAAAUUCACAAUUUCACUAACAAUCGGAAACAACAUGCAAGAGCAAGAGGAGAAACUGGAGAAAACCAAUUCGCGCAGAAGAGUGAAGCUUCGAUUCGUUUAGUUUUCUUCUUCCACUGAAUCCCAUGGCGAGAGUGAAGCACACGCCAGCUUCUCGCAAGCUUGGUAGGAAGAACAAAGCACCGCAGGCAUUCACUUCCGCGCCAAAAUCACCGCAAUCUCAAUCGAAUUCAUAAAUCCAUAUGGAAUCCGUUCCUCGUCCCAGACUCAGAAUGAUUCUGAUUCUUCGUCUGAAAGAUUGUCAUGACAGCAGAAACGGAAAAUCAACAUGGCAAUUUGGAGCUUAGUUACAACAAUGAGGAAUUUCGAUUAGAGGGAAAUAGUAAUGGUGGUUACAUGGACAAGGCAUGCCUUUAUAAUCAUUCCUCUGUGGGGGAUGGAACUGUGACUUUUUCAGAAGGCAAUUGUCAUGUUGAUAUCAAUGACCAGUUUGAAGGGGAAUUAGAGGGCAAGGCUGAAAAUCACACUGUUUCCUGUAGUAGUGAAGUUCCAUUUUGCAAAAGCAUUCCAGGUUCAGGUUUAUCAUUUUCCUAGUGAAAUCUAAUUAAACUUGAGUAUGUUUAUCAUUUAAAUAAUGGAGUGGUUUUAAUUAGUAGUCAUUGAGGCCUCUAUGGUUUUAGUCUUUUCUACUAAAAAAAAAUACUAAUCAUAAAAGCAUAAAAGGUGCAAGAGUACUGAAAAUUUAAUCUUCUCUCAAAAGGUAUAUUAACUGCCUCUCUUUCAAGUGGAACAGCUAUUUGGUCACGAGUGUACAAUUAACUAGCUAAGCUAGGUCUAGUUAGUUUCUAUGAUGAUAAAACCAGACUAUUACAGAUUUUUCUUCUACCUUAUCGUGAUAUGAAGCUUUGGCAUAAAUCACGAAAUGAUUAAAUUCUAAUAUCUUCUUUAAUUAAAUUUUUAAAGUUAAAUCUUUAACCUCUUGCAGAAAUUUAGAUAAGUAAUAUGAGCACUAGAUCAUCGCAGUUCCUCCUUUUUUUAAAAAAAGCUGCGAACUUAGAUGAAAGAAGAUGUUGUUUUGACUUAUUUCUAUAUAUAAUUAUCUUUUCUGAUUCUGGAAAUUUACUCUUCUAUUGCUACUGGUCAUUUCUACUAUCUUAGUGUUUUAUGGUCAAUAAAGACAUAGUCCCCUUUUUACAGGUUCAUAAAAAUGUAUUUGUUGUCUUUUAUUAUGGAGAGAGAGUUAAAAGUAAAAUUCUGAAAAUAUGUGAUGCUUUUGGAGCAAAUCGUUAUCCUUUCUCAGAUGACUUGAGUAAACAAUUUCAGACGAUAACAGAGCUAUACGUAAUUUUUUCUUAAUGUUUGUGCAUAGCUUUCAAUUUUCGUUAUAAAAAAUUAUGAUGAAUGCCUUAGAAAGUAAGUUCUCAACACCAUCAUUUAUAGGUUCUAUGGAGCAAAAGUGAAAAACAUGAGAUGCUUCUAUCCUGAGAAAAAAUUGUUUCUGCAGGAUCUUAUAGUUGUUUCAAUUGAUGUUCAUGUUGUUAAGUACCGAUGUUCAAUUUUGUUAUUAGUAUUACCAUGGUUGAAUAUCUAAAAUUUUCUUUAGAUAUAAGCUGUACAGAAAUUCUUUUCCCUGCAAUAUGCUCUUUUGGAAUUUCAACUUGAGGAUUUGAUCAGCUAGUUUCAUGUUGCUUUAAUGUAUUGAAAAGGAGUUCUGGGAUGAGCAUCUGAACUUUGCUGUUGAUUUGGUAUUAUAUAAUUUCUUGAUUAGUGAUUUUUAGUUAGAGAUAUAUUCAGUUUUAGAUAUUGAUGGAUGUGUAUCAGUAUGAUAUCUAGUUGUAUUUAGUACUAGUGAUGUGAUAAUUCUGUGGUACUCCUUCCAUUUCUUAUUAUAAGACAUUUUAACCGAAUUUAUAGACACCACUACCCUUUUUUCCUACCAAAUCUGUUUCUGAGUGGGCAUCUUGCAUACAAUAUGCAGUUACCAGUAAAGGAAAGUAUGGAACAAGAGUUCCUGAUGAGGUUCUUCUUGAAGAAAACCUCAUGGAUGCUUCAUGAAACCUCUUCUCGGAUCCUUGGAAGAAUUGAAGAAGAGGUAAGUGUAUCCAAGGUUCACC
This is a non-coding RNA of Cajanus cajan (pigeon pea), 2138 nucleotides long. The record is from RefSeq and is a predicted model, not a curated record. Lineage: Eukaryota; Viridiplantae; Streptophyta; Magnoliopsida; Fabales; Fabaceae.